Molecule: ribosomal RNA, 496 nt
Filed under: uncultured bacterium
Lineage: Bacteria
Description: partial 16S ribosomal RNA
Rfam family: Bacterial small subunit ribosomal RNA
Source: RNAcentral
GAUGAACGCUGGCGGCGUGCCUAAUACAUGCAAGUCGAGCGAACAGACGAGGAGCUUGCUCCUCUGACGUUAGCGGCGGACGGGUGAGUAACACGUGGAUAACCUACCUAUAAGACUGGGAUAACUUCGGGAAACCGGAGCUAAUACCGGAUAAUAUAUUGAACCGCAUGGUUCAAUAGUGAAAGACGGUUUUGCUGUCACUUAUAGAUGGAUCCGCGCCGCAUUAGCUAGUUGGUAAGGUAACGGCUUACCAAGGCAACGAUGCGUAGCCGACCUGAGAGGGUGAUCGGCCACACUGGAACUGAGACACGGUCCAGACUCCUACGGGAGGCAGCAGUAGGGAACCUUCCGCAGUGGGCGAAAGCUUGACGGAGCAACGCCGCGUGAGUGAUGAAGGUCUUCGGAUCGUAAAACUCUGUUAUUAGGGAAGAACAAAUGUGUAAGUAACUAUGCACGUCUUGACGGUACCUAAUCAGAAAGCCACGGCUAACUACGU